This 496-nucleotide ribosomal RNA is filed under the name uncultured bacterium. RNAcentral's name for it is "partial 16S ribosomal RNA". It matches the Rfam family "Bacterial small subunit ribosomal RNA", at positions 29 to 507 of the family's 1533-position model. The record is from RNAcentral.
AUGAACGCUGGCGGCGUGCCUAAUACAUGCAAGUCGAGCGAACAGACGAGGAGCUUGCUCCUUUGACGUUAGCGGCGGACGGGUGAGUAACACGUGGGUAACCUACCUAUAAGACUGGGAUAACUUCGGGAAACCGGAGCUAAUACCGGAUAAUAUUUCGAACCGCAUGGUUCGAUAGUGAAAGAUGGCUUUGCUAUCACUUAUAGAUGGACCUGCGCCGUAUUAGCUAGUUGGUAAGGUAACGGCUUACCAAGGCAACGAUACGUAGCCGACCUGAGAGGGUGAUCGGCCACACUGGAACUGAGACACGGUCCAGACUCCUACGGGAGGCAGCAGUAGGGAAUCUUCCGCAAAGGGCGAAAGCCUGACGGAGCAACGCCGCGUGAGUGAUGAAGGUCUUCGGAUCGUAAAACUCUGUUAUUAGGGAAGAACAAACGUGUAAGUAACUGUGCACGUCUUGACGGUACCUAAUCAGAAAGCCACGGCUAACUACGUG